AUGGGGUUUCACCAUACUGGUCAGGCUGGUCUGGAACUCUUGACCUUAGGUUAUCCACCCAUCUUGGCCUUCCAAAGUGCUGGGAUUACAGGUGUGAGCCACUGUGUCCGGCCCAAGUGCAGUGCUUUUUUCUCCACUCUCUUCCCCUCCCCUCUCUUCUCCAAGGUGGCAUCUGUAUCCUGGGGUGAAGGAAGAAGAGAGACUCUUGGAUGGGCAUUUGAGGUGGCAGCUUCCAAGAGUCCCUCAAGGGACUGGGGCUUCCUUGCCUGCCCAGCUGAGCUGUCAUCCUGUUGGCUUUGAGGGCAGCGGUGUCCAGUCUCCGACAGUGAUGUAGACAGGACCUCUGCAUCACUUCUAGGACAUCUCCAGUUGGAGAGUGAGAGAGGGAAAAUGCUCAAACAGGCUGGGGGGCUCAAGAACAUCUCCCGUGAGUUGGGGACAGCCCACUUGGGGGUGGGAACACUCCCUGAUUUCCUGGUAAGUUGCCGCAUUUGUAUUCAUUAGAUUAUUUGUUUACUUGUUUCUCUCCCCUGAUAAACUAAAUUCACAGAGGGCAAGGCUCUUGUCUUGACUUUGCAAUAAUAAUAGUUUUCACUGGUUGAUUGCCUGCUCUUGGCCAUGCUUUGUGUUGAAUUCUUUACAUACAUUAGCUCUAAUCUGCAUGGUAGAUUAUCCCUCUUUGACAGAUAGGGAAAUGGAGCUCCAAGAGGUUAAGUACGUUGUCCACAGUUAGACAGUUGUAUGGGACAGAGCUGGAAUUUACAUUCAUGGACUUUUCAUCUUUCCAACAGCCUCUUACAUACCUGAUGUCUGCACCAUACUGAGUAUUAAAUACACACCUGUGGAAUGAAUGAAGAUAUUCGUAGCUGCUUCUCUUCCUCUUCUCUAUGGCUCCUCUAUGACCUCGUUAACUUUGGGAGAGAAGGCUGGCUGUUGGCAGAAGUUGAAAAUCUACCCUCCCUUUCUUUGUGUCUUUCCUAUUUUGCAAGCUACCAUUCCGGAAGCAUACGGAAGCAACACCAUGUAGUAGAAAGAACACUCAAUUUGGAUUUCAACAGAGCUGGCUUGGAACCCUGGCUCCACCAAAAGCUCUGUGAAGUUAUUUAACCUCUUUGAACCUCAGGUUCCCUGUCUAUAUAAUGAGCAUAACAGCACCCAUGGCAGAAGCAUGGUGAGGAUUUGGUGGCACAUGGAUGUAAGUGGCACCUGGGCACUGGGCUCAGAGGUGGAAUUCAGGAAGUGGAACUUCCCCCAUUUUCCCUCAGACACCUUCAUGCCUGAUCUCUGCCCCACUCUUGGG
This 1300-nucleotide long non-coding RNA is filed under the name Piliocolobus tephrosceles (Ugandan red Colobus). RNAcentral describes it as "lncRNA (ENSPTEG00000023946.1)". The record is from RNAcentral. Lineage: Eukaryota; Metazoa; Chordata; Mammalia; Primates; Cercopithecidae.